GGCCGGGUGGCAGAGUGGUGAUGCAGAGGACUGCAAAUCCUUGAAUACCGGUUCGAUUCCGGUCCCGGCCUCCA
Molecule: transfer RNA, 74 nt
Filed under: Novispirillum itersonii
Lineage: Bacteria; Pseudomonadati; Pseudomonadota; Alphaproteobacteria; Rhodospirillales; Novispirillaceae
Also listed under: 1 other name
Description: tRNA-Cys
Rfam family: tRNA
About the family: Transfer RNA (tRNA) molecules are approximately 80 nucleotides in length. Their secondary structure includes four short double-helical elements and three loops (D, anti-codon, and T loops). Further hydrogen bonds mediate the characteristic L-shaped molecular structure. tRNAs have two regions of fundamental functional importance: the anti-codon, which is responsible for specific mRNA codon recognition, and the 3' end, to which the tRNAs corresponding amino acid is attached (by aminoacyl-tRNA synthetases). tRNAs cope with the degeneracy of the genetic code in two manners: having more than one tRNA (with a specific anti-codon) for a particular amino acid; and 'wobble' base-pairing, i.e. permitting non-standard base-pairing at the 3rd anti-codon position.
Source: RNAcentral